ACUUCGUUGUAAAGGCAGAAGAUAGAAAAAAAUUAGAGAGUUUGCAAAUAAAGUGAUACAGAGAGAGAGAAAGAGACAGAAAGAGUAUGAGGAAAGCAGAGAGACGAGAAUUACAGAGAGGUUCUAGAGCUGUAGAGGAGGUCUUGGAGCUUGAGGCUUUGAUGAUUUAAUGAGGAAAAUUCCUUUUCAGUGAUACGGAUGGCAAGUGACGGACGACGCUCCUCCACAGGGUUUGAUGGUUUCAGGUACUGGUGAUGAACGGGGAUUGCUAGAUACGGGCUUAGGGUAAAGAGUCCGCGUUGCAAGAUUUAUUUAUUUAUUUAGAGAAUUUUGUAUAUUUUUGAGGAAAUUGAUUUUGUAUAAAAGAGGACAUUUUUUUAUGAUCCUGGAUGUAUUUUGAUGUAUUUAGACUUGUAUAAAUUGAGGAUUUUAUUGGGGAUUUUUGGGUCGUGACGUAAUACUAGAGUCGUACAUAUAUUUCUCAUCA
Cornus florida is the source of this 487-nucleotide long non-coding RNA. RefSeq lists it as uncharacterized. The record is from RefSeq and is a predicted model, not a curated record. The transcript has 3 exons. Lineage: Eukaryota; Viridiplantae; Streptophyta; Magnoliopsida; Cornales; Cornaceae.